RNAcentral lists this small nuclear RNA (103 nucleotides) under Microcebus murinus (gray mouse lemur). The record is from RNAcentral. Lineage: Eukaryota; Metazoa; Chordata; Mammalia; Primates; Cheirogaleidae.
UUGCUUCAGCAACACAUAUACUAAAAUUGGAAUGGUACACAGAAGAUUAGGGAGGCCCCUGUGCAAGGAUGACAUGCAAAUUUGUGAAGUGUCCCAUAUUUUA